This 2372-nucleotide small RNA is filed under the name Pongo abelii (Sumatran orangutan). RNAcentral describes it as "retained intron". Lineage: Eukaryota; Metazoa; Chordata; Mammalia; Primates; Hominidae. The record is from RNAcentral.
GAUAGAUUCAUUUUUUAUUAUUAUUUUUUAACUGCAAGGGUAAUUGUAAAAUCAUAGUGUAAAGUUUGUGUGGUGUUUCUGCUUUUUGUAAUGUUUGGAACUUGCCUCUGCAGGUAAAAUCCCAGAGGAAUCCAAAGCCCUCUCUUUAUUGGCUCCUGCUCCAACCAUGACAAGUCUGAUGCCUGGUGCAGGAUUGCUUCCAAUACCAACCCCAAAUCCUUUGACUACUCUUGGUGUUUCACUUAGCAGUUUGGGAGCUAUACCAGCAGCAGCACUAGACCCCAACAUUGCAACACUUGGAGAGAUACCACAGCCACCACUUAUGGGAAAUGUGGAUCCUUCCAAAAUAGAUGAAAUUAGGAGAACGGUUUAUGUUGGAAAUCUGAAUUCCCAGACAACGACAGCUGAUCAACUACUUGAAUUUUUUAAACAAGUUGGAGAAGUGAAGUUUGUGCGGAUGGCAGGUGAUGAGACUCAGCCAACUCGGUUUGCUUUUGUGGAAUUUGCAGACCAAAAUUCUGUACCAAGGGCCCUUGCUUUUAAUGGAGUUAUGUUUGGAGACAGGCCACUGAAGUAAGAAAUCCUAAACAAAGAAAUUUUAAUGAUUUUGAAAAAAUUUAAAGUAUUUUUGAUGUAAUUAAGGCUUUUUUUUUUCUUUUUAAUAGUAAUUGGCAAUUUGUGGAAAGGAAGACUUUGUGUUAAGUAUAAAUGAAAUACAUGAGAUACUUACCAUUUUAGUCUUUAAUUUCUUUUAUUUAGAGACAUUUAUUUUCUCAUUUUCUGUUUUCUAGGGUCUAAUUCAGUGUUAACAUUAUUUAUAUACCCUGCGUAACGGUUGUAGGUCUUUUUCUAUAAACUUUAAUAAGUCAGGUUGGUUUUACAUUAUGACACUAGACUAAUUGAGCAACUUAACACGUGGGUUGAACUCUAGUACUUCCAGUAACAACUGUGGUAAAUUCAAAAUCUACAGAAGGAAAUUAUAAGUGCCCAGAAAUGUUUUAAGCCAGAAAUUUUGACUUUUGAGGUUUGCUUACAUCCUUGUUUGUAAAACAUUGAUAAUGGCCUUCGAGAUACUCCAGACCAGAAAUUCUAUUUCAUGCAGAUUGUUGAGGCAAAUAUAGUUUUGCUUGAAUUUCAUAGAUUGCUUUAGUUAUACAAUUUGAUCAGGAUUUUUCUGUUAAGGAUAAGUUUUUAGUGGGUACUUGUCUUCUCAGUGUGGAAGGGGUAAAGCAAGACACAUAAUAUCCAUUCAUGUGCAUCAGAGAAGUCACUCUACCUAGUAGAGGAAGAGUUCUGUCAGAUGCCUUGCACAUUCAAAGCUAUGUCUAACUCAGCCAUGGUUCAGCAUUGGUUAAAAUGGUGUACAUAAUAUGAUGAUAUACAGGUAGCUUUCCCUUCUUCUAGAGUGUACAGGUUGUCAGUAAGAUCUUUUGAUCUGAAAAUAGAAAUGAUUCAUUUUCAUAUUGGUAUCAACAUUUUAAUUUAUUUUAAUUCUAAGCUGUGGAAAAGCACUUAAUCUAGUCUGUUUGAAUUAAGUUAGCUAGGGUUCAACUUUUCUGCCUGCUUUUGGUUGUAUUAGCAAGGAAUGGUAGGAAGUGGGGAUGAGAGAUUAAUCAUGGUUUUGAGGUUGCUUUUGGUUAUUCUGUAUAUCAUUCUUACGUGCUUCUGAGAUGUCCUCACGUUUAUAAAUAUGUGUAUCAUAUAAAUGUUUGUUUCAUGUUUUAUGAAAUGUGGUGUGUAUUUGUGAUAUGCUAAUAUUUUUAAUUUAGAAUAAAUCACUCCAACAAUGCAAUAGUAAAACCCCCUGAGAUGACACCUCAGGCUGCAGCUAAGGAGUUAGAAGAAGUAAUGAAGCGAGUACGAGAAGCUCAGUCAUUUAUCUCAGCAGCUAUUGAACCAGAGUCUGGAAAGAGCAAUGAAAGAAAAGGCGGUCGAUCUCGUUCCCAUACUCGCUCAAAAUCCAGGUCUAGCUCAAAAUCCCAUUCUAGAAGGAAAAGAUCACAAUCAAAACACAGGAGUAGAUCCCAUAAUAGAUCACGUUCAAGACAGAAAGACAGACGUAGAUCUAAGAGCCCACAUAAAAAACGCUCUAAAUCAAGGGAGAGACGGAAGUCAAGGAGUCGUUCGCGUUCACGGGACAAGAGAAAAGACACUCGAGAAAAGAUCAAGGAAAAGGAAAGAGUGAAAGAGAAAGACAGGGAAAAGGAGAGAGAGAGGGAAAAGGAACGUGAAAAAGAAAAGGAACGGGGUAAAAACAAAGAUAAAGACCGGGACAAGGAACGGGAAAAGGACCGGGAAAAAGACAAGGAAAAGGACAGAGAGAGAGAACGGGAAAAAGAGCAUGAAAAGGAUCGAGACAAAGAGAAGGAAAA